CCAGCACCCGAGCUGAGGAAGGUGAGAACCUUCGACCAAGGUUCACGUCGAGCAACGCGAGACAACGUUGCCGCAGGCAACGGCCCGCAGAACGAGGCGCAGUGCGCCGAGUCAUCCUUCCCCCCACCACCA
Molecule: small RNA, 132 nt
Filed under: Edwardsiella anguillarum
Lineage: Bacteria; Pseudomonadati; Pseudomonadota; Gammaproteobacteria; Enterobacterales; Hafniaceae
Description: RtT sRNA
Rfam family: RtT RNA
About the family: This family represents a bacterial cis-regulatory element known as RtT RNA. The exact function of RtT is unknown although it is thought that it may be involved in changing the cellular response in relation to amino acid starvation.
Source: RNAcentral